This 420-nucleotide transfer-messenger RNA is filed under the name Candidatus Woesebacteria bacterium. It matches the Rfam family "transfer-messenger RNA". Rfam says of the family: Bacterial tmRNA, also known as 10Sa RNA or SsrA, is named for its dual tRNA and mRNA-like properties. Lineage: Bacteria; Candidatus Woeseibacteriota. The record is from RNAcentral.
GGGGAUGUAUUGCAUCGACGUGGCGUGUUCGUUCACAUCUGCAGCUCGUCUUCGACCAAAGACGUUAACAAGGUCAAACAAAAGCUGUCAAUAAUAUUUUCAGCACAGCUAAAAGUGCGAUCGCUUCGAUCGGCAAUUAUAUUGUCGAUUCGUUCGCCGUACCUAUAGCUCCUGCUUACGCUUAAUCGCGUAAUCAAGCAUUCAUACUUUCGGUCGCGCGUGUGCCGGAGUAUGGGUGGAAACCCAGCCGCGUGACUACACUAUGUUUCUCUGGUUCGUAGUGUCCAAGACUCCAUAUCAGAAAGGGUUCACACACCGUUUGUACAUUCACGAUGUCAACCUUCCUCAAGAUGUACUACAGCUGUAGACGAUGGAAUUGUUCACCUACGCACAGGGGGUCAUACCCCCUCAUCUCCACCA